CCUACGGGUGGCAGCAGUGGGGAAUAUUGCGCAAUGGGCGAAAGCCUGACGCAGCGACGCCGCGUGAGGGAUGAAGGUCUUCGGAUCGUAAACCUCUGUCAGCAGGGAAGAACGGUCACUGUGCUAAUCAGCAGUGAAUUGACGGUACCUGCACAGGAAGCACCGGCUAACUCCGUGCCAGCAGCCGCGGUAAUACGGAGGGUGCGAGCGUUAAUCGGAAUUACUGGGCGUAAAGCGUUCGUAGGCGGUAUGGCAAGUCAAGGGUGAAAGUCCCGCGCUCAACGUGGGAGCUGCCUUUGAAACUGGCAGACUGGAGUGUGUGAGAGGAUAGUGGAAUUCCUGGUGUAGGAGUGAAAUGCGGAGAUAUCAGGAGGAACAUCAGUGGCGAAGGCGACUAUCUGGCACAUAACUGACGCUGAGGAGCGAAAGCGUGGGGAGCAAACAGGAUUAGAUACCCCAGUAGUC
RNAcentral lists this ribosomal RNA (465 nucleotides) under uncultured bacterium. RNAcentral describes it as "partial 16S ribosomal RNA". It matches the Rfam family "Bacterial small subunit ribosomal RNA", at positions 338 to 795 of the family's 1533-position model. The record is from RNAcentral.